This 447-nucleotide ribosomal RNA is filed under the name uncultured bacterium. Its description in RNAcentral is "bacterial SSU rRNA". It matches the Rfam family "Bacterial small subunit ribosomal RNA", at positions 29 to 521 of the family's 1533-position model. The record is from RNAcentral.
AACGAACGCUGGCGGCAGGCCUAACACAUGCAAGUCGAACGGACCCUUCGGGGUUAGUGGCGCACGGGUGCGGAACACGUGGGAACAUACCCUUUGGUAAGGAAUAAUAUUUGGAAACGAAUACUAAUACCUUAUAAUAUCUUCGGAUCAAAGAUUUAUCGCCAAAGGAUUGGCCCGCGUCUGAUUAGCUUGUUGGUGAGGUAAUGGCUCACCAAGGCUACGAUCAGUAGGGGGUCUGAGAGGAUGAUCCCCCACACUGGGACUGAGACACGGCCCAGACUCCUACGGGAGGCAGCAGUGAGGAAUAUUGCACAAUGGAGGAAACUCUGAUGCAGCCAUGCCGCGUGAGUGAAGAAGGCCUUAGGGUUGUAAAGCUCUUUCAAUGGUGAAGAUAAUGACGGUAGCCAUAGAAGAAGCCCCGGCUAAAUUCGUGCCAGCAGCCGCGGU